Long non-coding RNA from Salvia miltiorrhiza (redroot sage), 1939 nucleotides. RefSeq lists it as uncharacterized. The transcript has 2 exons. NCBI's taxonomy places the organism in Eukaryota, Viridiplantae, Streptophyta, Magnoliopsida, Lamiales, Lamiaceae. The record is from RefSeq and is a predicted model, not a curated record.
CGUUAUACUUUUAUAACGUAUGAGAAAAACGCGACGAUGAUUAUUGAGCCAUUCAAUAAUUAUUAUUUUCAAGUUAUAACUGACUUAGCAAAGUCAUGUUAUUUAUUAAUCGAGAAACGGAAGCAGUUAUAUUUUAUUAAUGCUACUAGAAGUCGAGGAUUUAUUUCCGACAGCAAAGCAGAUUAAAUCUACGGAUUUAAUUUAAGUUAUAUUAUAGUUUAUCAAGUUAGCAGGCAAGGAAAAAAAUAUCAAACAGAUACAAUAACGGAUGAUAGAGAAUAGAAGCCAGUAUUUUAUUACAGUUCACGAAUACAGUCUACUUCCCAGCUUGGGGAAAAUUGUAUAGUAUUUUACAAGGUUGAAUUUACCACCAUUUGCUUCCCCACCACUACACCUACUCUUACACUCCACCAACUUCUCCAUUACAUUUGUUUUUCUCCACCAAACAUUCCACUUACUUCAUUCCUUAUGUCAUACACCAAGCACCAGAAAGGGAGAUGAAGUUCCUGCUGCCAACUGCCAAGUAUCGAGAGGUAAGUCUUGGCCUAAGUUUUCUUCAUUCCAUACUUGGUUCUUUCUGCAUUUGUUGAGAAAACAAUAUUUGCAAUUUCAGUUCCUUUCCCCAUUUAAUUCAUAGCAACAGACAACCACCGACACCAAGCAUUUCAGACUUAUACAAAGAAGAAGAGGAAGAUAGAACAAAGACUUAGCUUUAAGAUAUAGUGCCGGCUGCCGGUUCGGACGAACCAAGGGGACGGCGAACCCCUGCUGCCGUGACGAACACCGAGAACAAAAACGGCGAACUAUCGAUUAUCUCGUCUGCAUCAGAUCAAUGACAGCAAGUGAGACCGGUGGUCGACGGCGUCUGACUCGCCGGAGAUGGAGGAAGGCAGAGGAUGAGGCUGAGACGCCGAUUUAAGCGCGAAGUUAGGACUUUCACUCUGUUUGUUUUGGAGACCACCUAUGCAUCGUGUGUGUGAGACUCAGAGAGGAGAGGAACUUCCUCUGGCCGGGUUACAAAAUCGGGACGGCGGAAUCAGGCGAGAAAGCUCGCCUCGAUACUUCACAAUUCGUGAAAUCGAGAGAGAACAAGAGAUCUCUUUGAGGGUUCUGCUCAGUGAAACCAAGAGGAAAGAAGACGCCGGACGGAACUGGCGGAAGCUGAACGACGCCGGACCUAAGCUCGGCGGCAGCCGACGCCGGUUGGAGCAUAGAAGGCGACUGAAGCUCGACUGAUGUUGAGAGAGACCGACUGAUUCUACGGAUUCCGAACGAAGGAGCAGCAGCGAUCGACGACGGCGCUCUCCCAGACGACGACCGCUGACCGGUACCGAGCCCGAGCAGCAGCAACUCCAGUCGGCGAUGGCUCCCAAACGACAGCAGCCCGGCGGAUUUCAGGCGAAGAUGCGGCCGCAGCAGCGACCUGGUAUUUGACGAUUAGGGCUCGCCCUUCCACUCUCUUCUUCCCGAACACGGAUUUGAGGCCGAGACACCAAGUUUGGAGGGGGGACGACAACUAGCGGUCGCCGGACUUACAGAAACGGCGGAGGAUUCGAUCUCAGGGAAAGCUAGGGCUCCUCCUCUCAGUCGAGUUUGAGAGGUAAAUCGAGAGAGAGGAGAUGAGGGAGCAGACCGACGUCGGGGUUCUGAGCAACGCUGGCCUCGCCGGCGGCUGGAAUGGUCAGAGUACGGAGCGGCGACGGCAGAUCUGCGGGAGACAGAUCGGGUGAGAAAUUGAGAGAGGGAAGUAGAUGGAGAGAGAGAGAAAUGGACCAGGGGCGAUGUCCUCGGCUGGCCGUCGUUCUCGCCGGAGCCGUUCGCGGCGGAGCUCGCGUAGAGCGGGCGAGAGAGAGAGAGAGGUCUUGAGCGGCGCUGGCGAGAUUUGGGAAGAGAGGCUGCUGAUUUGGGUGGAGGAAUUGAGGAACAGAAGCCGUGAAAA